RNAcentral lists this ribosomal RNA (142 nucleotides) under Yersinia intermedia. RNAcentral's name for it is "partial 16S ribosomal RNA". It matches the Rfam family "Bacterial small subunit ribosomal RNA", at positions 56 to 205 of the family's 1533-position model. Lineage: Bacteria; Pseudomonadati; Pseudomonadota; Gammaproteobacteria; Enterobacterales; Yersiniaceae. The record is from RNAcentral.
UGCAAGUCGAGCGGCAGCGGAAAGUAGCUUGCUACUUUGCCGGCGAGCGGCGGACGGGUGAGUAAUGUCUGGGAAACUGCCUGAUGGAGGGGGAUAACUACUGGAAACGGUAGCUAAUACCGCAUGACCUCGCAAGAGCAAA